RNAcentral lists this ribosomal RNA (840 nucleotides) under uncultured bacterium. Its description in RNAcentral is "bacterial SSU rRNA". It matches the Rfam family "Bacterial small subunit ribosomal RNA", at positions 51 to 904 of the family's 1533-position model. The record is from RNAcentral.
ACACAUGCAAGUCGAACGAGCGAGAGAGAGCUUGCUUUCUCGAGCGAGUGGCGAACGGGUGAGUAACGCGUGAGGAACCUGCCUCAAAGAGGGGGACAACAGUUGGAAACGACUGCUAAUACCGCAUAAGCCCACAGGUCGGCAUCGACCAGAGGGAAAAGGAGCAAUCCGCUUUGAGAUGGCCUCGCGUCCGAUUAGCUAGUUGGUGAGGUAACGGCCCACCAAGGCAACGAUCGGUAGCCGGACUGAGAGGUUGAACGGCCACAUUGGGACUGAGACACGGCCCAGACUCCUACGGGAGGCAGCAGUGGGGAAUAUUGCACAAUGGGGGAAACCCUGAUGCAGCGACGCCGCGUGGAGGAAGAAGGUCUUCGGAUUGUAAACUCCUGUUGUUGAGGAAGAUAAUGACGGUACUCAACAAGGAAGUGACGGCUAACUACGUGCCAGCAGCCGCGGUAAAACGUAGGUCACAAGCGUUGUCCGGAAUUACUGGGUGUAAAGGGAGCGCAGGCGGGAAGACAAGUUGGAAGUGAAAUCUAUGGGCUCAACCCAUAAACUGCUUUCAAAACUGUUUUUCUUGAGUAGUGCAGAGGUAGGCGGAAUUCCCGGUGUAGCGGUGGAAUGCGUAGAUAUCGGGAGGAACACCAGUGGCGAAGGCGGCCUACUGGGCACCAACUGACGCUGAGGCUCGAAAGUGUGGGUAGCAAACAGGAUUAGAUACCCUGGUAGUCCACACCGUAAACGAUGAUUACUAGGUGUUGGAGGAUUGACCCCUUCAGUGCCGCAGUUAACACAAUAAGUAAUCCACCUGGGGAGUACGACCGCAAGGUUGAAACUCAA